AGAGUUUGAUCCUGGCUCAGGAUGAACGCUAGCGGCGUGCCUAACACAUGCAAGUCGAACGUGAGAGGGUACUUGUAUCCUUGAAAGUGGCGGACGGGUGAGUAAGACGUAGGUGACCUGCCUUGAAGAGGGGGAUAACCAUUGGAAACGAUGGCUAAUACCGCAUGAGUUGGUAAUGAUGGGAAUGUUACCAACAAAGUUUCGGCGCUUUGAGAGGGGCCUACGGCCGAUUAGUUAGUUGGUGGGGUAAAGGCCUACCAAGGCGAUGAUCGGUAGCUGGUCUGAGAGGACGAUCAGCCACACGGGAACUGAGACACGGUCCCGACUCCUACGGGGGGCAGCAGUGAGGAAUAUUCGGCAAUGGGGGGAACCCUGACCGAGCAACGCCGCGUGGAGGAAGACGGUUUUCGGAUUGUAAACUCCUUUUCUGUGGGAAGAGCAAGGACGGUACCACAGGAAUAAGUCACGGCUAA
This 473-nucleotide ribosomal RNA is filed under the name uncultured Caldilinea sp. RNAcentral's name for it is "bacterial SSU rRNA". It matches the Rfam family "Bacterial small subunit ribosomal RNA", at positions 8 to 500 of the family's 1533-position model. Lineage: Bacteria; Bacillati; Chloroflexota; Caldilineae; Caldilineales; Caldilineaceae. The record is from RNAcentral.